This is a long non-coding RNA of Talpa occidentalis (Iberian mole), 642 nucleotides long. RefSeq lists it as uncharacterized. The record is from RefSeq and is a predicted model, not a curated record. Lineage: Eukaryota; Metazoa; Chordata; Mammalia; Eulipotyphla; Talpidae. The transcript is spliced from 3 exons.
CUGUGUGCGUGGAGUGGCCCAGGUAGUCGAGGCAGGGCUGGGCGGUGUUGAGGUGACGGGCCGCUAGGUGUGACCGGCUGUCUGGCAGACAGCCCCUCCUGGAAGGGAGAGCUGCCCCCGCCAGCGACCUGGAGACCGCAGAACGCACUCGUCACUCUCGUCACUAAUGCGAGCCCGGAACGCAGGCAUUUUCACUGGCAAUUCUGAUACCGUCACGCCAAGUUCCGCAUAGGUUUUCUGUCUGCUGCUCUUUGUAGUCUCCCGUCAGGAACAUUUAAAUUUAUCUUUUGCAGACAGGAAAACUAUGUGUCCCCAACAGCUUAUGAAGGAGACUUAGAGCUGGUUCCAGACAGCAAACUGCUGCAGGAAAACCUUGCCAUACUGGCUGCCUAGAAAUCCCGCUCCAUUUCUUAGUGGAGGCUUAUUUCCAAGAACUGCAGAAGCUUGAAAUGCUAUGAAGGCAGAGAUAGUGUACUCCAAGGAGGAAAAAUCCUCUGGGAUAAGCCAUUUGGGAAAUUCUAUCAAGAGGUGGUUCAUUAAAUUCUCCAGAAACAGAAAUGAGUAGCUAUUAGUCUUUGUAGAACCUUCUGAAAUUUGUGAGGAAAAUGCUGUUCUUAAGUGAACUUUAUCCUAUAUUCCCCU